Non-coding RNA from Acanthosepion pharaonis, 109 nucleotides. Lineage: Eukaryota; Metazoa; Mollusca; Cephalopoda; Sepiida; Sepiidae. The record is from the annotation of a GenBank genome assembly.
CAGCCAUUUCAUAGUGAAACACCAGUUCUCAUCUGAUCACUGAAGUUAAGCAAUUUUGAACCUGGUCAAGCCUAGAUGGGUGACUACUUGUGAAUACUAGGUACUGUAA